UACGUAGGGGGCUAGCGUUGUCCGGAUUUAUUGGGCGUAAAGAGCGUGUAGGCGGCCAGGUAGGUCUGGUGUGAAAACUCGAGGCUUAACCUCGAGAUGUCAUCGGAAACCAUCUGGCUAGAGUCCGGAAGAGGAGAGUGGAAUUCCUGGUGUAGCGGUGAAAUGCGCAGAUAUCAGAAGAACACCAAUGGCGAAAGCAGCUCUCUGGGACGGUACUGACGCUGAGACGCGAAAGCGUGGGGAGCGAACAGG
RNAcentral lists this ribosomal RNA (252 nucleotides) under uncultured bacterium. RNAcentral describes it as "partial 16S ribosomal RNA". It matches the Rfam family "Bacterial small subunit ribosomal RNA", at positions 524 to 776 of the family's 1533-position model. The record is from RNAcentral.